UGCCAGCCGCCGCGGUAAUACGGAGGGGGCAAGCGUUAACCGGAAUUAUUGGGCGUAAAGGGCGCGUAGGCGGACUGAAAAGUCAGAUGUGAAAGCCUACUGCUUAACAGUAGAAUAGCAUUUGAAACUCUUAGUCUUGAGGAUAGGCGGCGGAAGUGGAAUUCUGAGUGUAGUGGUGAAAUUCGUAGAUAUUGGGAAGAACACCAGUGGCGAAGGCGGCUAACUGGCUCGGUACUGACGCUGAGAUGCGAAAGCGUGGGGAGCAAACAGGAUUAGAUA
RNAcentral lists this ribosomal RNA (279 nucleotides) under uncultured bacterium. RNAcentral describes it as "partial 16S ribosomal RNA". It matches the Rfam family "Bacterial small subunit ribosomal RNA", at positions 506 to 784 of the family's 1533-position model. The record is from RNAcentral.